UGGUAAUUAGUUUAACAAAAACAAAUGAUUUCGACUCAUUAAAUUAUGGGUUAGCCCAUAAUUACCA
RNAcentral lists this transfer RNA (67 nucleotides) under Peromyscus crinitus. RNAcentral describes it as "tRNA-Arg". It matches the Rfam family "tRNA". Rfam says of the family: Transfer RNA (tRNA) molecules are approximately 80 nucleotides in length. Their secondary structure includes four short double-helical elements and three loops (D, anti-codon, and T loops). The record is from RNAcentral. Lineage: Eukaryota; Metazoa; Chordata; Mammalia; Rodentia; Cricetidae.